Molecule: long non-coding RNA, 267 nt
Organism: Talpa occidentalis (Iberian mole)
Lineage: Eukaryota; Metazoa; Chordata; Mammalia; Eulipotyphla; Talpidae
Exons: 4
Source: RefSeq, a predicted model, not a curated record
AUUAAUCUUGGUAAAGUCAUGUAACUAAUUAUCUCCACUGAAAUAUGCGUGGGAGUGAUCACGUCUUACCAGCAUUGUUAGGAACUAGGUCAUGCAGAUGAUUCUAUUGGCUGAGGAGCGGUCAGGCACUUGAAUCCUUGCUGCAAGAAGGAUGGAAAAGAGCAUCCCUAUCUUUAGAAGUGAACUAAUGUGGGUGAAAUGAUUUGAUGUUUGCUUCCAAUUAAUCUGGAGACUUUUUAAGUGAUGAAGAAUAAGAAUGAAACUGAG